CCUACGGGAGGCUGCAGUGGGGACUAUUGCACAAUGGGGGAAACCCUGAUGCAGCGACGCCGCGUGAGUGAAGAAGUAUCUCGGUACGUAAAGCUCUAUCAGCAGGGAAGAACAUGACGGUACCUGACUAAGAAGCCCCGGCUAACUACGUGCCAGCAGCCGCGGUAAUACGUAGGGGGCAAGCGUUAUCCGGAUUUACUGGGUGUACAGGGAUCGUAGACGGCAGCACAAGUCUGGAGUGAACUCCCGGGGCUUAACCCCGGAACUGCUUUGGAAACUGUGCGGCUGGAGUGCAGGAGGGGUAAGCGGAAGUCCUAGUGUAGCGGUGAAAGGCGUAGAUAUUAGGAGGAACACCGGCGGCGAAGGCGGCUUACUGGACUGUAACUGACGUUGAGGCUCGAAAGCGUGGGGAGCAAACAGGAUUAGAUACCCCUGUAGUC
This 440-nucleotide ribosomal RNA is filed under the name uncultured bacterium. RNAcentral's name for it is "partial 16S ribosomal RNA". It matches the Rfam family "Bacterial small subunit ribosomal RNA", at positions 338 to 795 of the family's 1533-position model. The record is from RNAcentral.